RNAcentral lists this unclassified non-coding RNA (384 nucleotides) under Salmonella enterica. Its description in RNAcentral is "partial 16S-23S intergenic spacer region". The stretch from base 278 to 377 matches the Rfam family "Salmonella enterica Typhi npcRNA 44". The record is from RNAcentral. Lineage: Bacteria; Pseudomonadati; Pseudomonadota; Gammaproteobacteria; Enterobacterales; Enterobacteriaceae.
CCUUAAAGAAGCGUUCUUUGAAGUGCUCACACAGAUUGUCUGAUAGAUGUAGAGAAGCAAGGCGUCUUGCGAUUGAGACUUCAGUGUCCCCUUCGUCUAGAGGCCCAGGACACCGCCCUUUCACGGCGGUAACAGGGGUUCGAAUCCCCUAGGGGACGCCAGCGUUCAAACUGAUGAGGUCAAACCUCCAGGGGACGCCACUUGCUGGUUUGUGAGUGAAAGUCACCGGCCGUUAUAUCUCAAAACUGACUUGCGAGUCAUGUUUGAGAUAUUUGCUCUUUAAAAAUCUGGAUCAAGCUGAAAAUUGAAACACAGAACAAUGUAACGAUUGUUCGUGAGUCUCUCAAUUAUCGCAAUCAGAAGAGAAACAUCUUCGGGUUGUGA